CUGCGGAGGAUCAUUAAUGAUUACGAAUGGUUGCCUUCUGUGCUGGCCAACUGGCAAGUGCACGUCGGUGGCUUUCAUCCAAUCCCCUGUGAACCUCUGGCCUCUUGCUAGCCUCGGCCGGCAGAGGAAUUUUACACAAACUUGAAUGUAAUGAAAUCUAUUGUCGUGCGCAAGCACUAAUGUACAACUUUCAACAACGGAUCUCUUGGCUCUCGCAUCGAUGAAGAACGCAGCGAAAUGCGAUAAGUAAUGUGAAUUGCAGAAUUCAGUGAAUCAUCGAAUCUUUGAACGCACCUUGCACCCUUUGGCAUUCCGAAGGGUAUGCUCGUUUGAGUGUCAUUGUACUCUCACACUCCCGAUCUUGUUGGGAGCGGUGGACUUGGGUGCUGCUGCUUACCGCGGCUCACCUCAAAUGGAUUCGUGCAUCUCUUGGUUGGACAUAGUACGGCGUGAUAAGUGUCUUCGCCGGCNCCUCAGUAGAGGGUGGCCGAUCGGGAGCUCUGUGCUUCUAACCGUCCUCGGACAACAACUGACAACUUGACCUCAAAUCGAGUAGGACCACCCGCUGAACUUAAGCAUAUCA
This 583-nucleotide ribosomal RNA is filed under the name uncultured Sebacina. RNAcentral's name for it is "eukaryotic LSU rRNA". The stretch from base 186 to 339 matches the Rfam family "5.8S ribosomal RNA". Lineage: Eukaryota; Fungi; Basidiomycota; Agaricomycetes; Sebacinales; Sebacinaceae. The record is from RNAcentral.